This 450-nucleotide ribosomal RNA is filed under the name uncultured bacterium. RNAcentral describes it as "partial 16S ribosomal RNA". It matches the Rfam family "Bacterial small subunit ribosomal RNA", at positions 354 to 796 of the family's 1533-position model. The record is from RNAcentral.
GUGGGGAAUUUUGGACAAUGGGCGCAAGCCUGAUCCAGCAAUGCCGCGUGCAGGAAGAAGGCCUUCGGGUUGUAAACUGCUUUUGUACGGAACGAAACGGUCCUGGUUAAUACCUGGGGCUAAUGACGGUACCGUAAGAAUAAGCACCGGCUAACUACGUGCCAGCAGCCGCGGUAAUACGUAGGGUGCGAGCGUUAAUCGGAAUUACUGGGCGUAAAGCGUGCGCAGGCGGUGCUGUAAGACAGGCGUGAAAUCCCCGGGCUCAACCUGGGAAUUGCGCUUGUGACUGCAGUGCUGGAGUACGGCAGAGGGGGAUGGAAUUCCGCGUGUAGCAGUGAAAUGCGUAGAUAUGCGGAGGAACACCGAUGGCGAAGGCAAUCCCCUGGGCCUGCACUGACGCUCAUGCACGAAAGCGUGGGGAGCAAACAGGAUUAGAUACCCUAGUAGUCC